UGGAAUUCUAUAUAACCUAGUGGCGGACGGGUGAGUAACACGUGAGCAACCUGCCUAUCAGAGGGGGAUAACGAUUGGAAACGAUCGCUAAUACCGCAUGACAUAGCGAAACCGCAUGGUUUUGCUAUCAAAGAUUUAUCGCUGAUAGAUGGGCUCGCGUCCGAUUAGAUAGUUGGUGAGGUAACGGCUCACCAAGUCGACGAUCGGUAGCCGGACUGAGAGGUCGAACGGCCACAUUGGGACUGAGACACGGCCCAGACUCC
This 263-nucleotide ribosomal RNA is filed under the name uncultured Oscillospiraceae bacterium. RNAcentral describes it as "partial 16S ribosomal RNA". It matches the Rfam family "Bacterial small subunit ribosomal RNA", at positions 76 to 339 of the family's 1533-position model. The record is from RNAcentral. Lineage: Bacteria; Bacillati; Bacillota; Clostridia; Eubacteriales; Oscillospiraceae.